RNAcentral lists this ribosomal RNA (473 nucleotides) under uncultured bacterium. RNAcentral describes it as "bacterial SSU rRNA". It matches the Rfam family "Bacterial small subunit ribosomal RNA", at positions 335 to 799 of the family's 1533-position model. The record is from RNAcentral.
ACUCCUACGGGAGGCAGCAGUGAGGAAUAUUGCACAAUGGGGGAAACCCUGAUGCAGCCAUGCCGCGUGUGUGAAGAAGGCCUUCGGGUUGUAAAGCACUUUCAGUAGGGAGGAAGGUAGUGUAGUUAACACCUGCAUUAUUUGACGUUACCUACAGAAGAAGCACCGGCUAACUCCGUGCCAGCAGCCGCGGUAAUACGGAGGGUGCGAGCGUUAAUCGGAAUUACUGGGCGUAAAGCGCAUGCAGGCGGCCUGUUAAGUCAGAUGUGAAAGCCCGGGGCUUAACCUCGGAAUUGCAUUUGAAACUGGCAGGCUAGAGUCUUGUAGAGGGGGGUAGAAUUUCAGGUGUAGCGGUGAAAUGCGUAGAGAUCUGAAGGAAUACCAGUGGCGAAGGCGGCCCCCUGGACAAAGACUGACGCUCAGAUGCGAAAGCGUGGGGAGCAAACAGGAUUAGAUACCCUGGUAGCACAGAG